CGGCGUGCUUAACACAUGCAAGUCGAGCGGAAAGGCCCUUCGGGGUACUCGAGCGGCGAACGGGUGAGUAACACGUGAGUAACCUGCCCCUGACUCUGGGAUAAGCCCGGGAAACUGGGUCUAAUACCGGAUACGACACCUCCUGGCAUCGGGUGGGUGUGGAAAGUUUUUUCGGUUGGGGAUGGACUCGCGGCCUAUCAGCUUGUUGGUGGGGUAACGGCCUACCAAGGCGACGACGGGUAGCCGGCCUGAGAGGGCGACCGGCCACACUGGGACUGAGACACGGCCCAGACUCCUACGGGAGGCAGCAGUGGGGAAUAUUGCGCAAUGGGCGAAAGCCUGACGCAGCGACGCCGCGUGGGGGAUGACGGCCUUCGGGUUGUAAACCUCUUUCAGCAGGGACGAAGGUGACGUGUACCUGCAGAAGAAGCGCCGGCUAACUACGUGCCAGCAGCCGCGGUAAUACGUAGGGCGCAAGCGUUGUCCGGAAUUAUUGGGCGUAAAGAGCUCGUAGGUGGCUUGUCACGUCGGGUGUGAAAGCUUGGGGCUUAACUCCAGGUCUGCAUUCGAUACGGGCUGGCUAGAGGUAGGUAGGGGAGAACGGAAUUCCUGGUGUAGCGGUGAAAUGCGCAGAUAUCAGGAGGAACACCGGUGGCGAAGGCGGUUCUCUGGGCCUUACCUGACGCUGAGGAGCGAAAGCGUGGGGAGCGAACAGGAUUAGAUACCCUGGUAGUCCACGCUGUAAACGUUGGGCGCUAGGUGUGGGGACCUUCCACGGUUUCCGCGCCGUAGCUAACGCA
This 800-nucleotide ribosomal RNA is filed under the name bacterium. Its description in RNAcentral is "bacterial SSU rRNA". It matches the Rfam family "Bacterial small subunit ribosomal RNA", at positions 40 to 859 of the family's 1533-position model. The record is from RNAcentral.